GAUGAACGCUGGCGGCGUGCCUAAUACAUGCAAGUCGAGCGAACAGACGAGGAGCUUGCUCCUCUGACGUUAGCGGCGGAAGGGUGAGUAACACGUGGAUAACCUACCUAUAAGACUGGGAUAACUUCGGGAAACCGGAGCUAAUACCGGAUAAUAUAUUGAACCGCAUGGUUCAAUAGUGAAAGACGGUUUUGCUGUCACUUAUAGAUGGAUCCGCGCCGCAUUAGCUAGUUGGUAAGGUAACGGCUUACCAAGGCAACGAUGCGUAGCCGACCUGAGAGGGUGAUCGGCCACACUGGAACUGAGACACGGUCCAGACUCCUACGGGAGGCAGCAGUAGGGAAUCUUCCGCAAUGGGCGAAAGCCUGACGGAGCAACGCCGCGUGAGUGAUGAAGGUUUUCGGAUCGUAAAACUCUGUUAUUAGGGAAGAACAAAUGUGUAAGUAACUAUGCACGUCUUGACGGUACCUUAUCAGAAAGCCACGGCUAACUACGUG
RNAcentral lists this ribosomal RNA (497 nucleotides) under uncultured bacterium. Its description in RNAcentral is "partial 16S ribosomal RNA". It matches the Rfam family "Bacterial small subunit ribosomal RNA", at positions 28 to 507 of the family's 1533-position model. The record is from RNAcentral.